This 2804-nucleotide unclassified non-coding RNA is filed under the name Polistes dominula (European paper wasp). RNAcentral's name for it is "f-box protein SKIP2-like, transcript variant X4". The record is from RNAcentral. Lineage: Eukaryota; Metazoa; Arthropoda; Insecta; Hymenoptera; Vespidae.
UAGUGCCAAUAACAAGACCAUUAUUACUUUAGAAUUUCUUUGUUUUUGUAUCAAAAUUAAACGCACUUGUAACAACAAUAAUAUAUAUAAUUAAAUUAUAGAUGACUUUAUAAGUCAUAAGAAAGUACGUUCUCAGUUGAUAAUGCAGUUUCAAUUGAUACAAAAUCAUAUAAGAACAAGUAUUAAUGUCAGAAAACGCGAAGACGUGUAAUUGUAUAAAUGAAACAAAUUAAAGAAUACGUUAAAUAUAUAAUGAAAUUUAAUCUUUAAUAUUUAAAAUAAAUAAACAAUUAAAUUCAGACAAAAGUGAGAUAAAUACUUUGAUAUUAAACAGGUAUAACGAUUUUCUUUUUCAUAUGUCAUUUACCCCAUAAUUCUUCUUCGAUACAAGGUCACAAAUGAUCAUUGUCCUUUGAGUUAAAUCUCUGUGAACUCAAAAUGAAUAAAAUAGAAUUCUUUUGCGAAGCUUUGAAACGAAUUCGUGCGGAAACUGAAAAUGGUGCUGAUCGAAUAACCGAAGAAGGUGUACUGCCAACAACAAUAAAUGGAACGCCAAUACGGAAAUUGUUUGUUUGUAAUAUAGCACAAAGGACUACAUUUAAAGAUUUGAAUGCAUUAUUUUCUGAAUACGGAAAAGUUGAGAGUGUUUACUUAAAUCCAACAAGCAGUAGAAGUAAUUAUGCAUUUGUUACGUUUAGUACAGUUAUGGGUGCAAUCAGAGCUAGAGAAGCCGGAAGUAAUAAACGUAUUCAUUUACAUAGUAGAGAUUUAAAAGUAAUGCCAGCAGAUCCUUGGCACCAACCGGAUAAAACACAAUUUAAAAAUAAUAAUUCAACAAAGGAUUCGAAUAAAUCUCGUGAAAUGUCUUCGACUAAUAAAACUGAUCAAGACACUGUAGACAAUUCUACAAUUGCUUCAAUAAAUGUAUUAAACGAUGAUUGUUUAAUACACAUUUUUCUUUAUUUACCAAUUAUGGAUAAAAUUGCCAUAGAAAGGGUAUGUCAACGUUGGAAGGAUGUGUCAAAAAAAUCGUGGUAUAGUGUUAAAAAGUUAGAUCUUUCUAAUCAUACGUGGGGAAUAUUAUCAGACUAUAAAAAAAUUAAUACAUCUGAUUUACGUCAAGUAUUAUUGAGAUGCGGUAGAUUUUUAACUCAGAUUGAUUUUCCUCAUAAAUAUCCGUCCUUAACGCGAAGCACUUUGCUCAUCAUUGCCAAAUUGUGUCCUAAUUUAGAAAUAGUUGAUUUCAGUGGAAUCGAAUUGUCUUCCUCGGGAUUAGAAUUAUUAGCUGAUAAUUGUACAAAUAUAAAAAAGCUUAGUUUAGCAUUUUAUCCGUGUUCUUCUUCUCUAAUUGAUAAAGAUUUAUCAUUAUUAUUUCGUAUGUGUAAACGCUUAACUUCCGUGAGUCUUCGUGAAAUGAGAAUAUCGGGCAAAUGUUUAGGAUUUCUUUCAUCGGAUACAUUAGAAGAACUUGUUUUAACUGCUUGUAAUAAUAUCACUCCACGACAUUUUAUUAAUGUCUUAGAAAAUCAGAAGAAUUUAAAAAAAUUGGUUAUCAAUAAGAGCACAUUUUUCAUCGGUGUUUUACUUGAAGCAAUGGCAAAGUAUUGCACAAAUCUUCAACAAUUCGAACUAACUAAUGUAGAUUUUUGUGAAUUUUAUUACCGAGAUUCAAAUAUAUUACAUUUAACAAAAUUUGUUAAUCUUGAAACUCUAAUACUUUCAACAAAUAAUUUUGUAGACAACUUUCUUCUAAUUGCUUUGGCUUCAACGUGUACAAAAUUGACCUACUUAGAUAUCGAAAAUUGCAAUAAAGUUACUGAUACGGGUUUACAAGCUGUGGCAACUUUACCAAAAUUAGAAACUUUAAUAAUUAACUAUUUGAAUGAAAUAACAGCUAUAGGUUUAGACAAUAUGUGUAGCUUAAGACGACUGGAAUGUAAGUAUUGUGUUUCGAUACUGGAUACAGGCUUAACUACCCUUAUUCAUAAAUCGCCUAACUUGGAAUUACUCGAUAUCACUGGUUGCGACCAAAUAACCAAUGAUACUAUUACCGUGGCUGAAUAUGUUACUAGUCGUAGAUCCAAUAAUAUUGUUUUAAAGAUAUACAUGGCUGGAACAAGAGUGACGCGUCAUUAUCAUGCAUCUCCUAAUUUGAUGUUACUUCGUAUCAACACUACAGAUAUGUAGUUUUAAUUGGAAAUAUUUUCAAUUUACUGCCAUUCAUUAUUGUUAGCCAAAGGCUCCAAUGUUCAGCGUGAUCUGAUUAUUUUUCUAUUACAUUACCCCAUUAGAAUCAUCAAGUGCCAGACUACUCAUGGAUGACUUUACCCGUGGGAAAAAUUUUGUUUUUUGCAGUAAAAUAUUCUUACUGGGUCUUGUUUUAUGUGGAUUCACCUUUUUGUAUAUUGCCUAAUCAAAUCAAAAAUCCUACAUUAUAAAUAAUUAUUUCGUAUGUCUUUCGUGAAGAUAUUUAAUAUACGUGCACGUAACUUGUGCACGUAAUGUGAAUGUACAUAUUUAAAAAUUAAUCAUAUAAUAUAAUAUAUUAAUAUAAGAUAUUAUAAUAUUUAGAUCUUAUGACAGAUAUCAAGAGAAUUCCAAUUCUAAUUGGAAUAACAAAAAAAGAAAAAAUGAAAAGGAAAAAUUGGUCAUUCAAUGCCAACAAAUUGAAUAACUUUGAUUACUGAUUUAUAUACAUUUAUAAUAUUUGUACAAGCAUUUAAAAAGAAAACAGAAAAACAAACAAAAAAAUUAUUUGUUACUUUAAACAUCAUUACUGUGUAGUAUCUAUUAAAAGAGAAGUA